Crotalus tigris (Tiger rattlesnake) is the source of this 585-nucleotide long non-coding RNA. RefSeq lists it as uncharacterized. The transcript has 3 exons. The record is from RefSeq and is a predicted model, not a curated record. Lineage: Eukaryota; Metazoa; Chordata; Lepidosauria; Squamata; Viperidae.
CCUCCCUCCCUCCUUCCCUCGCUGGCUCGCCGCAAGUCGCCGCCACUCCGGCUUGCCCGCUGGCCGUGCCUCGUUCGUCCCGGCCAAGGAGCUCUCCCGCCGGCACCUGAAAAAGCGCCCGCGAAUCAAGCCCGGAUUUCUUUUUCCGCCGGGAAAGCGCGCGUGGCUGGCAGCGCUGGGAUUGUGCGGUUCUUGGGACCUGCUUCUCUCGGCGGAGGAGGCGACGACUCCGGGCUGAGUCCGUCAGCGGCGCGAUUUCCUCUCUUGGAUAUUGAGCUUUGCAUCCCAAGAUCAUGACAUUUCAAGGGCUCCAGGUGUUGUUUGGGGUGUUUCUUUGCUCUUGCUGUGUAAAAGGAUCCUUGCAGCCACAACCUCGGGUGUUCUUAACCUUCAAUGAACUACAGGAAACCAAGACAUCCCAAUUUUACUCCCUUUCCCAUCACCCCUUGGACUACAGGAUAUUAGUGAUGGAUGAAGAUCAAGACCGGAUCUACGUUGGCAGCAAAGAUCACAUUUUGUCGUUGAAUAUCAAUAACAUAAGCCAGGAGCCACUGAGUGUAAGUUCACGGUGUGGUUGAGAAUGGA